This 253-nucleotide ribosomal RNA is filed under the name uncultured bacterium. RNAcentral describes it as "partial 16S ribosomal RNA". It matches the Rfam family "Bacterial small subunit ribosomal RNA", at positions 524 to 776 of the family's 1533-position model. The record is from RNAcentral.
UACGUAGGGUGCGAGCGUUGUCCGGAAUUAUUGGGCGUAAAGAGCUCGUAGGCGGUCUGUCGCGUCUGCUGUGAAAACCCGAGGCUCAACCUCGGGCCUGCAGUGGGUACGGGCAGACUAGAGUGCGGUAGGGGAGAAUGGAAUUCCUGGUGUAGCGGUGGAAUGCGCAGAUAUCAGGAGGGACACCGAUGGCGAAGGCAGUUCUCUGGGCCGUAACUGACGCUGAGGAGCGAAAGCGUGGGGAGCGAACAGG